GAACAGGACGUCGCAGAGGGGUGAGAAAUCCCGUACGGUGACCGGGCCUCCACGCCCGUGUGAAGCUCCUUCGACGAGUCGAGUUGUUUGGGAAUGCAGCUCAAAAUGGGUGGUAAAUUUCAUCUAAAGCUAAAUAUUGGCCAGAGACCGAUAGCGCACAAGUAGAGUGAUCGAAAGAUGAAAAGCACUUUGGAAAGAGAGUCAAACAGUACGUGAAAUUGUUGAAAGGGAAGCGCUUGCAAUCAGACUUGCCCACGGGUGAUCAACCGGUAUUCUUACCGGUGCACUCGCCCGUGGUCAGGCCAGCAUCGGUUUGGGCGGCUGGAUAAAGUUCACCGGAACGUAGCUCCUCUCGGGGAGUGUUAUAGCCGGAGGUGCAAUGCAGCCCGCCCGGACCGAGGACCGCGCUUUGGCUAGGAUGCUGGCGUAAUGGUUGUAAGCGACCCGUCUUGAAACACGGACCAAGGAGUCUAACAUCUAUGCGAGUGUUUGGGUGUCAAACCCAUGCGCGGAAUGAAAGUGAACGGAGGUGGGAACCCUUAAGGGUGCACCAUCGACCGAUCCAGAUGUCUUCGGAUGGAUUUGAGUAAGAGCAUAGCUGUUGGGACCCGAAAGAUGGUGAACUAUGCCUGAAUAGGGUGAAGCCAGAGGAAACUCUGGUGGAGCUCGCAGCGGUUCUGACGUGCAAAUCGAUCGUCAAAUUUGGGUAUA
RNAcentral lists this ribosomal RNA (711 nucleotides) under Sarcogyne convexa. RNAcentral describes it as "partial large subunit ribosomal RNA". It matches the Rfam family "Eukaryotic large subunit ribosomal RNA", at positions 193 to 919 of the family's 3401-position model. Lineage: Eukaryota; Fungi; Ascomycota; Lecanoromycetes; Acarosporales; Acarosporaceae. The record is from RNAcentral.